GUAUUCGAGUUUUUUUGAUUACUCUGAAAGCUUAGACUUGCAAUUGAAGACGUGUGAGAGAAAAAUCAAGUCCAAUCCGAGUUGGAAAGGACUCUUAUACAUUGCACACAAGGUGGGUAUGGAUUUGAAAGUGCCAUAAACACUUAUUGUGAAUGAUCCUUCCGCAGGUUCACCUACGGAAA
Molecule: unclassified non-coding RNA, 182 nt
Filed under: uncultured fungus
Lineage: Eukaryota; Fungi
Description: sequence contains ITS1
Source: RNAcentral